AUGAUGGACUCUGUUAAUUGGCCAAUUGAAGUUGCAAUGGAUUUGGCUACGAUAUCACAGAAGGUAACUAAUCAAGUGAAGAAGACCAAGCUUGUUUGGCAGCCGCCGGCUGCUGCUGGAACUCUGAAAAUUAUUGUCGAUGGGAGCUGCUCAACAGAGAACUUCCAGGGCGUGACUAGUGUUGGUGUUCGUGAUCACGAAGGUAAAUUGUUACGAGCACAUGCGCUAUGGUAUGGUGUUGCGGCGAGUCCUCUCAAUUUGGAAGUUUUUGCGAUCCGUGAUGGUUUUCGGUUGGCAGGUAACAUGGAUCUCCGUACUAUCAUUGUGGAAACGGAUGACCUGACGGUGGUUAAUCUCUGGAGAUCGAAGAAAUUUUAG
RNAcentral lists this ribosomal RNA (378 nucleotides) under Triticum aestivum (bread wheat). Its description in RNAcentral is "partial small subunit ribosomal RNA". The record is from RNAcentral. Lineage: Eukaryota; Viridiplantae; Streptophyta; Magnoliopsida; Poales; Poaceae.